RNAcentral lists this ribosomal RNA (280 nucleotides) under uncultured bacterium. Its description in RNAcentral is "partial 16S ribosomal RNA". It matches the Rfam family "Bacterial small subunit ribosomal RNA", at positions 32 to 305 of the family's 1533-position model. The record is from RNAcentral.
AAUCAACGCUGGCGGCGUGCCUCAGACAUGCAAGUCGAACGAUUAAGCUCUCUUCGGAGAGUGCAUAAAGUGGCGCACGGGUGAGUAACACGUAAGUAAUCUACCUUCGAGUGGGGAAUAACGUCCGGAACGGACGCUAAUACCGCAUAACGCAGCGGCAUCGGCAAGAUGACAGUUGUUAAAGAUUUAUCGCUUGAAGAGGAGCUUGCGGCAGAUUAGCUUGUUGGUAAGGUAACGGCUUACCAAGGCUACGAUCUGUAACCGGUCUAAGAGGACGGUC